GACAAUUCUCCUCUCUCUCUCUAAAUUAUCGGUUCUCUCCCUUUCUCUUUUUUUUUAUUAAAGCAGCCACUCUCUCUCUCUCUCAAUCAUCAAAAUUAAAACUCUCUCUAAAUUCUCUCUCUCAGCUCAAUCAUCUCUCUCUCACUGCUCAUCAUCUCUCUCUCUCGCUCAUCAUCUCUCUCUCUCGCUCGAUCAGCCGUCGCCGCGGAAUUCGCCGGAGGAGCAGCGGCAAUAGGCCGCGCCACCCUCGGCUCUCCCUUCACUCACCGAAACCCGGCGCCCCUGUAACGCCUCGAGCUCCACCAUCUGCGACCGGUUCAGCGGGUACAGCGCCACCCCGAAGAGCGCCCGCAGCCGCCUGCACCGCCCCGGCCGCCAUCUCCCUCCGGCGAAACUGACAGCGGUAAGCCGCCGUCCGUUUCAGAACCCAGACCCCAAAUCGUAGCUAUGGCUGGCGCUGCUCGCCACCGGGAAGACCUCGGAGACACCGGAAUCAGCGACUCCAGCAGCAGCACGCACGCCCACCCCUCUUCUCCUUCGGCCACCGCGACCAGCCACCAGGUGUCGCCACCCUCGACUCCCUCGCCUUUCUCUCUGGAUCGACGGGCAGCCUAAGAUCGGAGACAACGGCAGGUUCACCGCCGCCGCUCCGUCGCCGGCGACGAGCCACCGCGGCUGCCGCCUCCCUCUGAUUUCGACUCACACACACAGUAGGUUCAAGCCACAAUUUAGUUCACAAAAUAGCAUAGGAUUUUGAGCAGAAAUCAAAUACUGUAAAUGCUUAUUGAAAAUCUGAAAUUCUUUUCUUGAAACUGAACUAGUCUGUAAAUUUCAGUUCAUAUGUGCAUAUGUAAUCAUGUUGUGAA
Long non-coding RNA from Salvia miltiorrhiza (redroot sage), 866 nucleotides. RefSeq lists it as uncharacterized. The record is from RefSeq and is a predicted model, not a curated record. The transcript has 2 exons. NCBI's taxonomy places the organism in Eukaryota, Viridiplantae, Streptophyta, Magnoliopsida, Lamiales, Lamiaceae.